Molecule: ribosomal RNA, 1348 nt
Filed under: metagenome
Description: bacterial LSU rRNA
Rfam family: Bacterial large subunit ribosomal RNA
Source: RNAcentral
UGAGUACGAGACACUACGGUGUCGAAGCAGUCUAUGUCAUACUUCCAAGAAAAGCUUGCACUGUCAUAAACAAAUAAUGCCUGUACCAUGACCGACACAGGUGGGUAGGUGGAGUAUACUAAGGGGCGCGAGAUAACUCUCUCUAAGGAACUCGGCAAAAUGACUCCGUAACUUCGGGAGAAGGAGUGCCUUAUAUUUUAUAAGGUUGCAAUAACAAGAUCCAAGCAACUGUUUACCAAAAACACAGGUCUCCGCUAAGUCGUAAGACGAUGUAUGGGGGCUGACGCCUGCCCAGUGCCAGAAGGUUAAAGAAGUUGGUUAGUAUUUGCGAAGCUGAUAACUGAAGCCCUGGUGAACGGCGGCCGUAACAAUAACGGUCCUAAGGUAGCGAAAUUCCUUGUCGGGUAAGUUCCGACCCGCACGAAAGGCGUAAUGAUUUGGAUACUGUCUCGGAGAGGGACUCGGUGAAAUAGACUUGUCUGUGAAGAUGCGGACUACUUGCACCAGGACAGAAAGACCCUAUGAAGCUUUACUGUAACUUGAAAUUGAAAUUGGACUUUACUUGCGCAGUAUAGGUGGGAGGCUUUGAGAAUAUUCUUGCGGGAAUAUUGGAGCCAUUAGUGAGAUACCACUCUGGUAAUGUUAGAUUUCUAACUUUGUAUCAUUAUCUGGUCAAAGAACAGUUUCAGGCGGGCAGUUUGACUGGGGCGGUCGCCUCCUAAACGGUAACGGAGGCGCACAAAGGUUUCCUCUGAACGGGUAGAAAUCGUAUCUAGAGUGUAAAGGCAUAAGGAAGCUUGACUGUGAGACCUACAAGUCGAGCAGGGACGAAAGUCGGUCUUAGUGAUCUGACGGUGCUGAGUGGAAAGGCCGUCACUCAACGGAUAAAAGUUACUCUAGGAUAACAGGCUGAUCCCCCCCAAGAGUUCACAUCGACGGGGAGGUUUGGCACCUCGAUGUCGGCUCAUCGCAUCCUGGGGCGGUAGUACGUCCCAAGGGUUGGGCUGUUCGCCCAUGAAAGCGGUACGCGAGCUGGGUUCAGAACGUCGUGAGACAGUUCGGUCCAUAUCCGGUGUAAGCGUUAGAAUAUUGAGAGGAGCCUUCUUUAGUACGAGAGGACCGAGAAGGAUGCACCGCUGGUGUACCAGUUAUUGUGCCAACAGUAAACGCUGGGUAGCUAUGUGUGGAGUGGAUAACCGCUGAAAGCAUCUAAGUGGGAAGCCCACCUCAAGAUAAGUAUUCUUAUCACGUAAGUGAAUAAGGUCACGGUAAGACUAACCGUUUGAUAGGCAUUAAGUGUAAAUCUAGUAAUAGACGAGCUGAGAUGUACUAACAGACCGAAGACUUG